CUGGCCCUUGGGAACCCGUCUGCCCUGGCCGCUGGCCGCGCCUCCCGCUCCGGGGCGCGCGGGGCCCUGGCUUCUCGGAACUCCGCUCCGCGGGAGAGGAGGCCGGCGCUCGCCGGGUAAGACGCACCGGAGCCGGGAGCGAGAGCUCGAGGCCCUGAGCGCCGAGCCUCGGCUGCCGGCCCAGGCAGGUGAGUGGCCUCGGCGCCUCCCGGCUCGCGCGCCCGAAACGGGCGCGGCCUGGCCCGGACCCGCGGUCUCUCCGUACGUCUGUUUCUGCUCCCUGCCUGUAGCUUACGACUCAUCAACGCGUAAAACGCGAUCGCAGCGAAACCUCCAGCCUGUCUUGCCGCCUCAGAGCCCAGCAGGGGCUUCUCAAAGACAACGCGGCACCGGGGACAAUCCCCGGUGUCCGGCAAGGCCGCCCCAUGGAGUUCAAAGUCGGGGAUGGAGCGCGGGAGGCCCCGGACUCGCAGGCCGGCCGCCAGGCGGUGAACGCCGGAGCCGAGCGGAAGCUUACCGCCGACCGCGAUCCCAGCGUCGGUUCGCGGGGAGACGGUCGUUCCGAGCUUUCAGGAGAGCAGAUUAUCGGAGCCCUUUCAGAGCGCGCACAACAAAUGCGCCCGCCAUCGAAUGCAUCAUUUACCACCGCAGAUCCGCGCAUUGAUGGGCAGGCAGAUAGCCGUCCGCGGGGGGCAUUCGGGCGCCCGGUGCGCGGGCCGCCGGCCGGCCUGCCUGCCGAAGGCACCCAAGUGU
Bos taurus (domestic cattle) is the source of this 753-nucleotide long non-coding RNA. The record is from Ensembl. Lineage: Eukaryota; Metazoa; Chordata; Mammalia; Artiodactyla; Bovidae.